CGGCUUCAGGGCUCCCCCCUACGGCAUCUGAACCUGUGGCAGGGAUGGUGAUUAGCCAGGACUGGAGCCCCAGGAGAGGAGGGCUUUCAGCCUCUUCAUUCCAAGAAGAUGACCUCUCGGACCCAGAAAGGAGUGCUUCCCACGUAUCUCAUUUAUCCCCACGACACCCCCGAGAGGAAUGGUCAUGGUGAUUUUACUGCUGCUCGUGGCCAUUGUGGUCGUGGCGGUCUGGCCCACCAACUAGCGGCAGUGAAGGGCCCCCCCCAGCUGUGACACCCGCCAGCGACGGACAAAAGCUCGGCACCCCGUUGGUACGCGAAAAAGCUGCUCUCAAUAAAUUCCCCCCCGACGCUCUGAA
Neofelis nebulosa (Clouded leopard) is the source of this 358-nucleotide long non-coding RNA. RefSeq lists it as uncharacterized. The transcript is spliced from 2 exons. The record is from RefSeq and is a predicted model, not a curated record. Lineage: Eukaryota; Metazoa; Chordata; Mammalia; Carnivora; Felidae.